UCUUGCAGGGACCCAGGCACGUGCAAAUGGCCUUGUAAGUUCAUUCUUGAUGGUGAGGAGCUAGAAGACUCCCCCAAGGACAAGUUGCUUUGAGGAUUUAGUAAGAGCUCUUCCGUAUAUUCUAGAGCCCCCUGGGAUGGGUUCGUUAAAGGAAUAUCUUCUGCUCCCCUGACAUCAAAUUCAUGUGCACUAUUUACUGGAAAAUAACCGCGGUUCUCAGCACUGGCGAGUGGAUUCCUAUUUCUAAUAGGGGACAAUGGUCGGCGAACAUUAAACCUUGAAUUUCCCUCUGAGUCUGAACUGUGAAUAAAUGUAGACGACAUCGACAAGUCUACUGGAAUAUCAUCUCUCAUGGCAGAAUGCAUUAAUGAUCCAGGAGUGUUAUAAGAUAAACUCACUGGUGAUCUUGGAGCUGUUGGUCUACCAGAGAGAAAACAGUCAAGAGAAUUACUAGAACUG
This 459-nucleotide long non-coding RNA is filed under the name Lynx pardinus (Iberian lynx). Lineage: Eukaryota; Metazoa; Chordata; Mammalia; Carnivora; Felidae. The record is from RNAcentral.